This 253-nucleotide ribosomal RNA is filed under the name uncultured bacterium. RNAcentral's name for it is "partial 16S ribosomal RNA". It matches the Rfam family "Bacterial small subunit ribosomal RNA", at positions 524 to 776 of the family's 1533-position model. The record is from RNAcentral.
UACGUAGGGGGCAAGCGUUGUCCGGAAUCAUUGGGCGUAAAGAGCGUGUAGGCGGCCCGAUAAGUCCGCUGUGAAAGUCCAGGGCUCAACCCUGGAAUGCCGGUGGAUACUGUCGGGCUCGAAUCCGGAAGAGGUGAGUGGAAUUCCUGGUGUAGCGGUGGAAUGCGCAGAUAUCAGGAGGAACACCAAUGGCGAAGGCAGCUCACUGGGACGGUAUUGACGCUGAGACGCGAAAGCGUGGGGAGCAAACAGG